UACGUAGGACCCAAGCGUUAUUCGGAUUGACUGGGCGUAAAGAGUUGCGUAGGCGGUUUGUUAAGCGAAUAGUGAAAUCUUGUGGCUCAACCAUAAGGCUGUUAUUCGAACUGGCAAACUCGAGAAUGGAAGAGGUAUCUGGAAUUCCCAGUGUAGGAGUGAAAUCCGUAGAUAUUGGGAGGAACACCAAUGGCGUAGGCAGGAUACUGGUCCAUUUCUGACGCUGAGGCACGAAAGCGUGGGGAGCGAACGGG
This 254-nucleotide ribosomal RNA is filed under the name uncultured bacterium. Its description in RNAcentral is "partial 16S ribosomal RNA". It matches the Rfam family "Bacterial small subunit ribosomal RNA", at positions 524 to 776 of the family's 1533-position model. The record is from RNAcentral.